RNAcentral lists this ribosomal RNA (591 nucleotides) under Triticum aestivum (bread wheat). Its description in RNAcentral is "partial small subunit ribosomal RNA". The record is from RNAcentral. Lineage: Eukaryota; Viridiplantae; Streptophyta; Magnoliopsida; Poales; Poaceae.
CCCACACUCUGUGGGGUCCGCCAAGGCGACCCUUUCUCGCCGUUCCUGUUUAACAUGGUGGCCGAUGCCCUCGCGGCCAUUCUUGACAAAGCCAAAUCGGCCGGCCACAUUCACGGCGUGGUCCCACACCUUGUAGGAGGGGGGGUCUCCCUCCUACAAUAUGCCGACGACACCAUAAUAAUGGUUGAGGGCUCCGAGUCCGAUAUUGCCAACCUGAAGUUCCUCCUCCUCUGCUUCCAACGGAUGUCCGGUCUGACCAUCAACUUUGAUAAGAGCGAAGUGAUGGUGCUGGGAUACCCACCGAUGGAGGCCCAGGGCAUUGCGGACCGGCUUAAUUGCCGACUGGGUUCUUUCCCCACGACCUAUCUGGAGAUCCCCAUUAGUGACUCUCGCCUCACCGUAGCAGACCUCCGCCCUUCCGUGACCCGGAUGCAGCACCGAGUCGAGCCCUGGAAGGGCCGGUGGCUCUCGAAGGCGGCGCGGGUAAUCCUCAUCAACUCCUCGAUGGCUAGCCUCCUCUGGUUCCUCAUGAGCUUCUAUAGACUCCAUGAGACGCUUCACCAGGAGGUGGCCAAAUAUCAGUCCAGAUAA